Molecule: ribosomal RNA, 374 nt
Filed under: uncultured organism
Description: partial 16S ribosomal RNA
Rfam family: Bacterial small subunit ribosomal RNA
Source: RNAcentral
GUAGGUGGCAAGCGUUGUCCGGAAUUAUUGGGCGUAAAGCGCGCGCAGGCGGUUUCUUAAGUCUGAUGUGAAAGCCCACGGCUCAACCGUGGAGGGUCAUUGGAAACUGGGGAACUUGAGUGCAGAAGAGGAAAGUGGAAUUCCACGUGUAGCGGUGAAAUGCGUAGAGAUGUGGAGGAACACCAGUGGCGAAGGCGACUUUUCUGGUCUGUAACUGACGCUGAGGCGCGAAAGCGUGGGGAGCAAACAGGGAUUAGAUACCCUGGUAGUCCACGCCGUAAACGAUGAGUGCUAAGUGUUAGAGGGUUUCCGCCCCUUUAGUGCUGCAGCUAACGCAUUAAGCACUCCGCCCUGGGAGUACGGUCGCAAGACUG